GCUUACGGUCACACUACCUUGAGAACGCCAGAUCUCGUCUGAUCUCGGAAGCUAAGCAGGGUCGGGCCUGGUUAGUACUUGGAUGGGAGNGUUACCAGCCUACAUCACAGACGAGGAAAUUUUAAGCA
This 128-nucleotide ribosomal RNA is filed under the name Poecilia mexicana. Lineage: Eukaryota; Metazoa; Chordata; Actinopteri; Cyprinodontiformes; Poeciliidae. The record is from RNAcentral.